GGCUAGGGCUGCAUAAACAGAAACAAAGUGAUUUAACUCCUAAAUGGCAGUGAAUUGAGCAGUGAAAUUGCAGGGGGAUGAUCUAUACACUAAAACUGCUUUAUUUAGCUAAAGUAAUUUAGGUGACUAUAGUGUUCCUUUAAUAUUGUUAACAGUUUUAAAUAAAGAAUGUUAAAAAUGCUGUUGCCAAGUAUCUAAUUCCAUGUGUAUUAUAAUCAUAUUGAAUCCCAAGAUGGCUG
Molecule: non-coding RNA, 239 nt
Organism: Pelobates cultripes (western spadefoot toad)
Lineage: Eukaryota; Metazoa; Chordata; Amphibia; Anura; Pelobatidae
Source: the annotation of a GenBank genome assembly